This 76-nucleotide transfer RNA is filed under the name Parahaemophilus parainfluenzae. RNAcentral's name for it is "Haemophilus parainfluenzae tRNA-Met". It matches the Rfam family "tRNA". Rfam says of the family: Transfer RNA (tRNA) molecules are approximately 80 nucleotides in length. Their secondary structure includes four short double-helical elements and three loops (D, anti-codon, and T loops). Further hydrogen bonds mediate the characteristic L-shaped molecular structure. tRNAs have two regions of fundamental functional importance: the anti-codon, which is responsible for specific mRNA codon recognition, and the 3' end, to which the tRNAs corresponding amino acid is attached (by aminoacyl-tRNA synthetases). tRNAs cope with the degeneracy of the genetic code in two manners: having more than one tRNA (with a specific anti-codon) for a particular amino acid; and 'wobble' base-pairing, i.e. permitting non-standard base-pairing at the 3rd anti-codon position. The record is from RNAcentral. Lineage: Bacteria; Pseudomonadati; Pseudomonadota; Gammaproteobacteria; Pasteurellales; Pasteurellaceae. RNAcentral also lists the same sequence under 1 other name.
GGGUCUGUAGCUCAGUGGUUAGAGCAGGGGACUCAUAAUCCCUUGGUCGCAGGUUCGAACCCUGCCAGACCCACCA